AACUAUACAAUGGAGAGUUUGAUCCUGGCUCAGGACGAACGCUGGCGGCGUGCUUUAAACAUGCAAGUCAAGGAGAACAUAUUCUUCGGAAUACUAGUAAACUGGCGAACGGGUGAGUAACACGUAGGUAAUCUGCCCUAGAGAUUGGGAUAACCCCGGGAAACCGGAGCUAAUACCGAAUAAUGCAGCGGAUCCUUCGGGAUAUGUUGUUAAAGCGGGCACUUGUGCUCGCACUUUAGGAUGAGCCUGCGUCCGAUUAGCUUGUUGGUGGGGUAAUAGCCUACCAAGGCAAUGAUCGGUAGCUGGUCUGAGAGG
RNAcentral lists this ribosomal RNA (315 nucleotides) under Fidelibacterota bacterium. RNAcentral's name for it is "bacterial SSU rRNA". It matches the Rfam family "Bacterial small subunit ribosomal RNA", at positions 1 to 299 of the family's 1533-position model. Lineage: Bacteria; Pseudomonadati; Fidelibacterota. The record is from RNAcentral.